Long non-coding RNA from Cercocebus atys (sooty mangabey), 3340 nucleotides. RefSeq lists it as uncharacterized. The transcript is spliced from 2 exons. Lineage: Eukaryota; Metazoa; Chordata; Mammalia; Primates; Cercopithecidae. The record is from RefSeq and is a predicted model, not a curated record.
CUGCCAGUGGGUGACGAGCCGGGAGGUCGGGAGGGAUCGAAUGUGCACGCCCAAGGCGCUGGGCCUGGAGCAGGAGUAAGAGAGUGGAGGCGCCUCGGAGACUGAAGCGCGGCGUUCGGCGGGAUCCUUUCCGGAAGCGGAAGCUCGGGGGACGCUCUAAGAAGGUCCGGGAGCCCACUGCGGUUAAUUCUUUUUACCGUGAGGCUUCACUUCCUUCGGUCUUGGCUUCUCUGAGGCUGCGAGAGAUGGUCAGGUCCGGAUCUCGACCGGGCCAGGCCAUCAAAGUCCAAAUGGUCAUUCAAAGGGAGCCUGGGACAAUGGCUCUAUUUAACUGGGACCCUAGAUAGGCCUCUGAGAGAAUCUCUGACUGCGACUUUUCCCAAAACAGUGCCCUUUGUCAGCAUGAAGCAGUUAACAGUCAUCGUCCCUAUCCUAAUGGCAGAUGUACCUCUUCAGAGGGGGACUGAUGGCAGAGGCGGCCCAUCUGGAACAGUGGAUGUGAAUAUGCCAGCUGCAGUUGGGGAGACAUGGCUGGGUUUGCACACUCCAUGGGGCCGGCAGGAGCCAGGAACAGGCGAGGGCCCCAUACCCUACUGAAUUGGUGGGGCAGGAGCCCUGCGCUCCUGGGCACUGCUGCAGCCACCCAGCCGUGGCUGCGGACCCAGGCAUCCCUGUGCUCUCAGGGCCCCAGAAGCCCCCCUGCCCCUUUAGGCUCAGAAUUGCCUGCUCCCACUCCAUGGCCUCUCACUGCUCCUGGCACCUACUAUAAUUUCAGAAUAAAAUGGAAGCCAAGCCUAGAUGCUGUCGGGACCCAGCUGAAUUUGUGUGCACUCAGGGCGGCGCUGACAUGCCCGCCCCACCACUGCCUCAGCCCUUUCUGGACUUUGGGUGCCGACUUUGGGUCCCCUCCUUUGGGAGGGAGGCUGGGAGGUGGUUAGGGGCAGCUUGGCACAGGCCUGCGGGUGCCCUUUGACACAAACAGCCUGGGCACCAUGGACAGCAUGUCGGUAGCAGGAGGCAGACAGGUUCCUGGGCAGAAAGGGGCGGUGCCCUGUUGAAACUCCCACUUCGAUCCAGGAAUGGCCUGAAGCCUGGGGGCCAGGUGCCAGUUCAUGGUGGAGUUCGCAGCCUGGAGUGAAAACUUAUGGUGCUUUUUCCAGCCCCACCUGUGGCCACUCAUGGACCAAUCAGCAUGCACUUCCUCCCUUCUGUGCCCAUUAAAAACCCUGGACUCAGCCAGACUCACACUUGUUGGUACGACCUGCCUGUGGAAAACAGCUACCCACUCUGGGUCUCCUGAGAGCUGUACUGUCACUUGGUGAAGCUCCCCUCUGUCUUGCUCACCCUUCAGUUGUCUGCACACCUCAUUCCUCCUGAAGGCAGGACAAGAACUCAGGACACGCUGAAUGGCGAGACUGAAAGAGCUAUAACAACAGGGCUGAAACAUGUCCCCUGCUUGCCAUGUUGCAGGUGAUGAGAAGGAGAGAAGAGCUGCAGCCCUUCUGGGAGCCCAGACCUUGGAGCUCCCCAGGCCAGAGCUGUGACACCAUCUUUGGGGCUCUGCGGUUCCUGGUGUCUCCAAGCUUCUGGGCGCCACCAUGUUCCCCUUGUCCAGAUGUGGGUGACCGCAGUGGAAGCUGCUUGUGGUACAUCUGAUCCAGUUGCAGCCUUGCAUGGAGCCAGCGCCUGUGCCAGUGCCUGGAGCUGCCUGCCCCACCACAGCAGCUGGAAUGCCUGGCUGUGUGCAGUGGUUGGACCUCAUGCUCACUCACUCACAUACCCCUCAUUACUCCAUGCCUGGCUCACCCCUGGCAGGUGUGGGAUCCCAGGCUGGUAGUGUGAGCUGAGUGCAGCCUGCCAGUCUGAGUGGAUAGAACAAGCCCAGUGGGCUUGAGCAAAACUCAGGCAAAGGCACCACUGGCCACAGAGGUUUCUGGCUGGAAAAGCAACACCUCAAGUAUCUUGUAACACUGUGUUGGUCAAACCUCUUUAGCACACACAUCGCUUGGGUCUGAGCCCAAAUGUCUGUUCAAAUCCUCAGUCCACUACUCACUAGCCAUAGGGCCUUGGUAAUGUUAAGAAGCCUUACAAUGCUGCAGUCAUCUACAAAUGGGAGUGGUAUGUACUGCAUCAGUUAUUGUGAGGUUAUCACAGUUUACACGUCAAAUGCUUAGAACACACAACCAGACACACAGAAGGUGCUUGAUAGAUCUUAGCUGUCAUUAUAUGCUUCAAUAGCAUCACAUGCUUGUCUUUUGUAGGACUUAUCAGAGCUGGACUUUCAAUACUUGUGUGAUGUUGAUGACUGUCUCUCCCAGUAGAGACUUGAACCAGGGAUGAUGAGUUCUUUGCCCACAAGUGUGUCCCCAGUAUCUAGCCUGGAGCUUGGCACAUAGUUGUGCUGAAUAUUCUCCAGUUGCCUCUCCAGAUCUAUCCCCAGCCUCCCUGGCUCUGUGCCCCAGGAGGUUGAAACCUCUGUGGAUUGUCAGAUGGCUCCCCAGUCAUUGAACUUCUGGUUGGGUAUGGCCAAUGGGAGACACUGGCAGGAGAUAAAAGGGUGGACAGAGAAUGAGAUUGGGAUAUUUAUUUCCCUGGCUUUCUCUGCCAGGCCACAAGCUGAUGUAGCUGUGUCUCUUUAUUACAGAUCCCCAUGCAUCUCAGGCAACCACAAUCCCAACUAUUCUCCAGGACAGGUGAAUAUCUGGUAGUGCUUGGCCCCAGGAUGCUUCACCCCUUCUUCUAGUCCCCAUGCACCUAUAAACUGUGCCUUAAACUCUCCUCAAUUAUUCCAGUUAAUACACCAUGUCUUUCCUUCUAGAACAUUGAUAACAAGUCAACAUUUGUUGAAUAAAUGAAGAGAUGUCUGUUUUACCACAUGAAGAUAAUAAUCCUCAGGCCCAAGCACGGCUACAAUUGUCCUGAUGAGCGAGUAAGAGACAGGAAACGAUCACACAUUUUUUAAAGAUGAUGUUCUCGAGUAGUAGUUCUCAAACAUGGGUGUGCAUGAGAAACGUGGAGGGCUUGUGGAACCCAUAUAGCUGGCUCUACCCCCAAGAGAUGCUGAUUUGGCUGGUCAGGCCUGGGGCUGAGGGAUAAUAAUUUGCACUUCUAACAAGUUUUGCGGUGACAUUGAUGUUUCUAGGCUGAAGACCACUUUGAGAAAAACUGAACUAGAGAAGUGCCAGACGCUUUUGUUAUUUAUAGACCCCAAGCCUCAGGGUUGCAUUAACUAUCUUUAAAGACAUAAAAAGUCAAGUACAAUAUAAUGUUUUAUUUUACACUUCUCUGAUUACUGAAAUCUAAAUAGAGGUUUUUGCUAACAAACAAAAAGGAAAAUAAA